GCCAAACGGCUCUAUAAUGCAGUCGAGCGAACAGAAGGGAGCUUGCUCCCGGAUGUUAGCGGCGGACGGGUGAGUAACACGUGGGUAACCUGCCUGUAAGACUGGGAUAACUCCGGGAAACCGGAGCUAAUACCGGAUAGUUCCUUGAACCGCAUGGUUCAAGGAUGAAAGACGGUUUCGGCUGUCACUUACAGAUGGACCCGCGGCGCAUUAGCUAGUUGGUGGGGUAAUGGCUCACCAAGGCGACGAUGCGUAGCCGACCUGAGAGGGUGAUCGGCCACACUGGGACUGAGACACGGCCCAGACUCCUACGGGAGGCAGCAGUAGGGAAUCUUCCGCAAUGGACGAAAGUCUGACGGAGCAACGCCGCGUGAGUGAUGAAGGUUUUCGGAUCGUAAAGCUCUGUUGUUAGGGAAGAACAAGUGCGAGAGUAACUGCUCGCACCUUGACGGUACCUAACCAGAAAGCCACGGCUAACUACGUGCCAGCAGCCGCGGUAAUACGUAGGUGGCAAGCGUUGUCCGGAAUUAUUGGGCGUAAAGGGCUCGCAGGCGGUUUCUUAAGUCUGAUGUGAAAGCCCCCGGCUCAACCGGGGAGGGUCAUUGGAAACUGGGAAACUUGAGUGCAGAAGAGGAGAGUGGAAUUCCACGUGUAGCGGUGAAAUGCGUAGAGAUGUGGAGGAACACCAGUGGCGAAGGCGACUCUCUGGUCUGUAACUGACGCUGAGGAGCGAAAGCGUGGGGAGCGAACAGGAUUAGAUACCCUGGUAGUCCACGCCGUAAACGAUGAGUGCUAAGUGUUAGGGGGUUUCCGCCCCUUAGUGCUGCAGCUAACGCAUUAAGCACUCCGCCUGGGGAGUACGGUCGCAAGACUGAAACUCAAAGGAAUUGACGGGGGCCCGCACAAGCGGUGGAGCAUGUGGUUUAGUUCUAAUCAACGCGAACAACCUUAACAGGUCUUGACAUCCUCUGACAACCCUAGAGAAUAGGGCAUUCCCUUCUGCGCACCGAGUGACCGGGUGGAGCC
RNAcentral lists this ribosomal RNA (1026 nucleotides) under Bacillus pumilus. RNAcentral's name for it is "bacterial SSU rRNA". It matches the Rfam family "Bacterial small subunit ribosomal RNA", at positions 39 to 1045 of the family's 1533-position model. The record is from RNAcentral. Lineage: Bacteria; Bacillati; Bacillota; Bacilli; Caryophanales; Bacillaceae.